AGAGUUUGAUUCUGGCUCAGGACAACGCUGGCGGCGUGCCUAACACAUGCAAGUCGGACGGGGUGAUUCGCUUCCUAGUGGCGGACGGGUGAGUAACGCGUGAAUUACCUACCCUAGGGAGGGGGAUAACGCCAGGAAACGGGUGCUAAUACCCCAUAGCCGGGAGGUUAAAGGACACAUCUGCCCUAUGAUGGGUUCGCGUCCUAUCUCCUAUUUGGUGGGGUACUGGCCUACAUUAGCUAAUACGGGUAGCCGGGCUGAGAGGAUGUACUGACACACUGGAACUGAGACACGGUCCACACUCCUACUGGAGGCAGCAAUGGGGAAUAUUGGGCAAUGGGAGGAAGCCUGAGCCAACGACGCCCCGUGAGGGACGUUGUUGCCCUCUGUUGUACAGGUCUUCCUUACUCAGGAGCCCCGGCAACUACGUGCCUGCAACCGCGGUAAUACGUGGGGCUGAGCGUUGUCCGCAUUACUGGGCGUAAAGGCGGGCAUGCGGAUAUGCUGGUCUGCUGUGUAAUGUCACGGCUCAGCCGUGUCAUUGCGGUGGAAACUGCAUAUCUGGAGUACUGGAGAGGGGAGUGGAAUUGCCGGUGUAGCGAUGAAAUGCGUAGAUAUCGGGAGGAACACCAGUGGCGAAGGCGGCUCUCUGGCCAUUACUGACGCUCAUGCGCGAAAGCUGGGGGAGCGAACCGGAUUAGAUACCCGGGUAGUCCCAGCCGUAAACGAUGAAUGCUAGGUGUGGGUGUCGUAGGGCAUCUGUGCCGCAGUUAACGCGAUAAGCAUUCCGCCUGGGGAGUACGGUCGCAAGAUUGAAACUCAAAGGAAUUGACGGGGGCCCGCACAAGCGGUGGAGCACGUGGUUUAAUUCGAUGCAAACCGAAGAACCUUACCUGGGUACAUGACGUGGUACUACCUGAAAGGGGGGGAUUGCGUCAAGGUGCUGCAUGGCUGUCGUCAGCUCGUGUCGUGAGAUGUUGGGUUAAGUCCCGCAACGAGCGCAACCCCUGCAUCUAGUUGCCAACGGGUGAAGCUGGGCACUCUAGAUGGACUGCCGGCGACAAGCCGGAGGAAGGUGGGGAUGACGUCAAGUCAUCAUGGCCCUUAUGUCCAGGGCGACACACGUGCUACAAUGGCCGGUACAGCGGGAAGCGAAGGGGAGACCUGGAGCGAUCUCUGAAAGCCGGUCCCAGUUCGGAUUGUAGUCUGCAACUUGACUACAUGAAGCUGGAAUCGCUAGUAAUCGCGGAUCAGCCAAGCCGCGGUGAAUACGUUCCCGGGCCUUGUACUCACCCCCGUC
RNAcentral lists this ribosomal RNA (1300 nucleotides) under uncultured Synergistota bacterium. Its description in RNAcentral is "bacterial SSU rRNA". It matches the Rfam family "Bacterial small subunit ribosomal RNA". Lineage: Bacteria; Thermotogati; Synergistota. The record is from RNAcentral.